UAAAUGCCAUCUAGUAAUUGGCUAGGGGAGCCCAAUCUACCCUAAGGAUGUUAACUGGUGCUCCAUUAGGGUUUCUCUAAAAAUGCCUUCCAGGGAUGCACAUCACUCUCUCAAUAUCUUCAUAAUCUCAUGCCUCUUCUAGUAUAGCAGCCUACCUGCACUGCUCUCAUGGCCACUCAGUCCUUAAGAAGGCGUUAAUGGUGUCAGGGUCAUAACUGAUCAAAUGUCCCCUCACGUAGCUCAUGUACCUCCCAGCCGA
Molecule: long non-coding RNA, 259 nt
Filed under: Vigna radiata
Lineage: Eukaryota; Viridiplantae; Streptophyta; Magnoliopsida; Fabales; Fabaceae
Description: long non-coding RNA (VRAD_LNC000971)
Source: RNAcentral